RNAcentral lists this long non-coding RNA (3127 nucleotides) under Nicotiana benthamiana. RNAcentral's name for it is "long non-coding RNA (NBEN_LNC005417)". Lineage: Eukaryota; Viridiplantae; Streptophyta; Magnoliopsida; Solanales; Solanaceae. The record is from RNAcentral.
CCGGGCUAUGCUUGCCCGCGGUGAUGUGGAGUUUAGCAUUAUACCCUACCUCAUAUAUAGAUUGUAGAAAUAAGUACAAUAGAGUGGAACGUAAUACCUAACCUCCAGAACACAAAUAUUAAAAGAGCUUAUUGAUGGGCUAGGACCUCGUGCGCAUAACACCUUACAAAAGGGGCUGCAGUGUUAGAAAGAUAAUCAAAAGCAGCCCUUCUCAAUAAUUAUGAAGGCACCUAAAUCUUCUUCCCCAAAAGGUAAGACUUCUUCACCUCAAUUCUUACUUCUACACUCAGCUAUAAGAGUGAUGUGGUAAGGGAAUUCAUGGGGGGUAAGAGUUGAUUUCCUCGCAUGCAUAUCAAAACAAAGGAUAUCGAGAGAUAGUAAACUUAGAAGGAAGCAAUUGGGAUAUAAAAUGAUAUAAAUUGCUCUCUAAAGGGGCCUAAGACCACAUUGCACCUUUAGUGUUUGACAAUAUGCUUGAACCAAGCUAGAAUCUCAAUCUCAUUUCUAAUUCUCGACUUAAUUUUUAAUUCUUACCCAAUAGAUUGACAUGCUAAGAGUUUCGAAAAUUUCUAAAGGGUAAGAAAAGCUUCAUUGAGAUAUGUAUGGCUAAAACCCCCUUUUAUUAGAAAUCGAGCUUUGUUGAUGUUUACGAAUGUGUGAUAAGGUCGUAUUGGUGAAUGUAUUGAUAGUUGCUGUGUGUUAAUUGAUUUGCAAUUAUCUACAUGUUUACAUGACGGAUGUGCCUCAAUGUGUGUAACAUACCAUUCUUGAUAAUCGGAGAAGGAUAAGAAAAUAUAAUUGUAAGUUGAAAUGCUUGGGCUAUAGGCCAAUAUUGUAAUGGAGAGUUAUUCAUGCUAGCUAUGUGUUCACCUUCUUGUGAUUGCAACUUGAAUUGUUCUUGGUAUAUGUCAAUGAUCACAAACUUGUAAUAUGAAUAUUUAAAGUGGAAGACGAUGGGACAAUGGUGGCCCUGAGUGCCAAGGAAAUUGAUAUGAUAUAUGUUAAAUGAAGAUUCGGAUGUGAUGACUAAUGAGAAAAAGGAGUAAUGCCUAGGUAAGGCGAUCUAGCCGAUUGGGUCGUGAUCGGACACCAUGCCGCCCACAUGGUGGUGAUGUGCUAAUAUUGUAAAUGGAAUAGUGAUUGAGAGAUAUGCCUCCAAUGACAUGACUUAGCCGGUCGGAUCGUGACCGGACUCCGUUCAAUAUACCGGUGGUAUUGAGGACAAUGAUGAACAUAUGAAAGAAAUUCCCAAACUAAGUUUCGGAAGAUAUGUGAAAGAUCAUGUGAUUUGUAUACUUGAUUUACUCAUGUAUUUACUUGUACUUGCUUGAUAGUUCUUUCUAGUAAAAUGGUAUUUAGUUAUACAUACUAGUACUAUUCCAUGGUACUAACGUCCCUUUUGCCAGGGGCACUAUAUUUUUAUACGAAUGCUAUAGCGGAUAGUGCCGAUUCUGUGUAGAGGUGCAUCCUCCUUCAUAAAGAUCUUGGUGAGCCCCUUUCAGUAAAAUGGUAUUUGGUUAUACAUACUAGUACUAUUUCAUGGUACUAACAUCUCUUUUGCCUGGGGCACUAAAUUUUUAAAUGAAUAUAGGUGGCUCCAUAGCGAACAGUGCCGAACGUGUGUAGCGGAGCGUUCUUCUACUUGAAGUCUUGGUAAGCCCCUUUCUCUUUCAAGGGGAGUGUAUCUUUUGUUACUAUAGAUUUUCACUUUUGAGGUAUAGCCGGGGCCUUAUUGCCGGCACAGUUAUGCUUAUCUUUUGUACCCUUAGAGACUCCAUAGACACUAGUAUGGGUUAGAUACGGGUGUUCGGGGAGCCCAUCAUCUAUGUUGUAAUCCUAAAAGUGUGGUUUCCAUAAAUUGUAGUUCUAAUAGAAUCCUGGAAGCUAGUUCAUGUAUGGUGUAGUGUUGUGAUAUAAAAUGAACCAAUGACAUUAUAUACGCUAAGUAUUCUCGCCUAAAUUAAUGAAAGCAAGAGUUUCGUAUUCAUAUUGAUUUGGUAGAAGGUGUUCGGUGAGGCUUGCUCAGUCGAGUUCACUUGAUUGAGUGCCGGUCGUGCCUCGCGAGGUUGGGGCAUGACAACUGUAUUCCUUGUAAGGCUUCUUAGACCUCUGAAUAGUUGUUAGUUAAUAAUUGGACUGGUGAAGCAAAUGCCAUCACCAUAUGUCCAUUUCUGUUCCUAACAAUGCCCCCAUCUCCAGCCUUGCCUUGAUUAGCAAUAUAGCUCCCAUCGGUGUUAAGCUUCCAAAAGUUUCCUUCCGCUUUAGACCAUAUAACCACAAUGCUUUUGAGGGUUGGUUUGUAGGAUUCAACAGUCUGGCAUACCUUCCACCAAUUCCAAUCCCAACCCAUCUUACUGAAUUUAAGCCCCAUGGAUAUCUUAGCCUGUAAAAGAACUUGUUGACAACUAUUAUAGGUACAGAUUGAUUUGGUACCAUACUUCUUGCCACAUCUAGCCUUCCAUAAUUCCCACAAGACAAUCAAAGGGGUGAUCCGUAGGAGGAAUUUAUGAGCAUGAUUCUUGGUAGGAAUGGACCACCAAUAACUAAGAAUAGAGAGGAUGUUUCUACCUCUAGUCUUGAAGCCAAGGGGAGAAGAGAUAUAAUUCCAAACACUGGAGGCCACAUCACUGAUGGUAAAUACAUGGUUCAGAGAUUCAAUUUUAGGGGCUCUACAACAAAUAAAAGUAGAUAAAAUAGUAACACCAAAACUAUGAAGUGUGUCGACAAAAGGAAAUUUUUUGUAAAUAAUUUUCCAGAUAUUAAAGGAGAUCUUGAAAGGUAGUUCCUUUAUCCAUACCUUGGACAUCAUAGGCAUGUGUUCUCAUUUUUGAUGUAGGAGAUGAAGCAGAAGCACAUGUGAAAUUUCCUUGAACAUUUGGAGUCCAAAUAGCCCUAUCUUUGUAUUGUUGCUGGCCGAUAUCUACCUGGGAAAUUUUGCUUAAGAUAAAUUGGUUGACAAUGUUUUCUAAUUUCUCCAUAUCCCGACUCUGGUUGUGGAUAAAUUCACAGAACCUUGUAUUGCUGGGUUUCUGAGUGUGAUUGCUGUAUAUACUCUAUCUCUUAACAUAGAAUUGUAGAUUUUCAAUAUCACUCUUUAUUCUAAUAAUAAAGGAAAGUAAUAAUCUUU